RNAcentral lists this ribosomal RNA (468 nucleotides) under uncultured bacterium. RNAcentral describes it as "partial 16S ribosomal RNA". It matches the Rfam family "Bacterial small subunit ribosomal RNA", at positions 28 to 507 of the family's 1533-position model. The record is from RNAcentral.
GACGAACGCUGGCGGCGUGCUUAACACAUGCCAGUCGAACGGAAAGGCCCUGCUUGUGUGGGGUGCUCGAGUGGCGAACGGGUGAGUAACACGUGAGUAACCUGCCCUUGACUUUGGGAUAACUUCAGGAAACUGGGGCUAAUACCGGAUAGGAGCUCCUGCUGCAUGGUGGGGGUUGGAAAGUUUCGGCGGUUGGGGAUGGACUCGCGGCUUAUCAGCUUGUUGGUGGGGUAGUGGCUUACCAAGGCUGUGACGGGUAGCCGGCCUGAGAGGGUGAACGGCCACAUUGGGACUGAGAUACGGCCCAGACUCGUACGGGAGGCAGCAGUGGGGAAUAUUGCACAAUGGGCGGAAGCCUGAUGCAGCAGCGCCGCGUGCGGGAUGACGGCCUUCGGGUUGUAAACCGCUUUCGCCUGUGACGAAGCGUGAGUGACGGUAAUGGGUAAAGAAGCACCGGCUAACUACGUG